GAUGAACGCUGGCGGCGUGCCUAAUACAUGCAAGUCGAGCGAACAGACGAGGAGCUUGCUCCUUUGACGUUAGCGGCGGACGGGUGAGUAACACGUGGAUAACCUACCUAUAAGACUGGGAUAACUUCGGGAAACCGGAGCUAAUACCGGAUAACAUGUUGAACCGCAUGGUUCAACAGUGAAAGACGGUCUUGCUGUCACUUAUAGAUGGAUCCGCGCCGCAUUAGCUAGUUGGUAAGGUAACGGCUUACCAAGGCAACGAUGCGUAGCCGACCUGAGAGGGUGAUCGGCCACACUGGAACUGAGACACGGUCCAGACGCCUACGGGAGGCAGCAGUAGGGAAUCUUCCGCAAUGGGCGAAAGCCUGACGGAGCAACGCCGCGUGAGUGAAGAAGGUCUUCGGAUCGUAAAACUCUGUUAUUAGGGAAGAACAAAUGUGUAAGUAACUAUGCACGUCUUGACGGUACCUAAUCAGAAAGCCACGGCUAACUACGUG
Molecule: ribosomal RNA, 497 nt
Filed under: uncultured bacterium
Lineage: Bacteria
Description: partial 16S ribosomal RNA
Rfam family: Bacterial small subunit ribosomal RNA
Source: RNAcentral